This 198-nucleotide ribosomal RNA is filed under the name uncultured bacterium. Its description in RNAcentral is "partial 16S ribosomal RNA". It matches the Rfam family "Bacterial small subunit ribosomal RNA", at positions 326 to 539 of the family's 1533-position model. The record is from RNAcentral.
ACGCUCGACACCUACGGUAGGCAGCAGUGGGGAAUAUUGCACAAUGGGGGAAACCCUGAUGCAGCGACGCCGCGUGAGCGAAGAAGUAUUUCGGUAUGUAAAGCUCUAUCAGCAGGGAAGAUAAUGACGGUACCUGACUAAGAAGCUCCGGCUAAAUACGUGCCAGCAGCCGCGGUAAUCUGAGCGGGCUGGCAAGGC